This 518-nucleotide ribosomal RNA is filed under the name uncultured bacterium. Its description in RNAcentral is "bacterial SSU rRNA". It matches the Rfam family "Bacterial small subunit ribosomal RNA", at positions 359 to 868 of the family's 1533-position model. The record is from RNAcentral.
GAAUAUUGGACAAUGGGCGCAAGCCUGAUCCAGCAAUGCCGCGUGUGUGAAGAAGGCCUGCGGGUUGUAAAGCACUUUCAGUGGGGAGGAAGGCCUCAAUGCUAAUAGUAUUGAGGAUUGACGUUACCCACAGAAGAAGCACCGGCUAACUCUGUGCCAGCAGCCGCGGUAAUACAGAGGGUGCAAGCGUUAAUCGGAAUUACUGGGCGUAAAGGGUGCGUAGGUGGUUUUUUAAGUCAGAUGUGAAAUCCCUGGGCUCAACCUAGGAAUUGCAUUUGAUACUGAAUAACUUGAGUAUGGUAGAGGGAAGUGGAAUUUCCAGUGUAGCGGUGAAAUGCGUAGAUAUUGGAAGGAACAUCAGUGGCGAAGGCGACUUCCUGGACCAUUACUGACACUGAGGCACGAAAGCGUGGGGAGCGAACAGGAUUAGAUACCCUGGUAGUCCACGCCGUAAACGACUGAGAACUAGAUGUUAGGGGCUUAGACCUCUUAGUAUCGCAGCAAACGCGUUAAGUUCU